Molecule: ribosomal RNA, 253 nt
Filed under: uncultured bacterium
Lineage: Bacteria
Description: partial 16S ribosomal RNA
Rfam family: Bacterial small subunit ribosomal RNA
Source: RNAcentral
UACGUAGGGUGCAAGCGUUAUCCGGAAUCACUGGGUUUAAAGGGUGCGUAGGCGGCUUAGUAAGUCAGUGGUGAAAGACUGUGGCUUAACCAUGGAAUUGCCAUUGAUACUGCUGAGCUUGAAUCAGGUUGAGGUUGGCGGAAUGCGACAUGUAGCGGUGAAAUGCUUAGAUAUGUCAUGGAACACCGAUUGCGAAGGCAGCUGACUGGACCUGUAUUGACGCUGAGGCACGAAAGCGUGGGGAGCGAACAGG